GGCUCGCUUCGGCGGGUCGAU
Molecule: small nuclear RNA, 21 nt
Filed under: Arabidopsis thaliana (thale cress)
Lineage: Eukaryota; Viridiplantae; Streptophyta; Magnoliopsida; Brassicales; Brassicaceae
Description: snRNA_04442
Source: RNAcentral